CCUACGGGAGGCAGCAGUGGGGAAUUUUGGACAAUGGGCGCAAGCCUGAUCCAGCAAUGCCGCGUGAGUGAAGAAGGCCUUCGGGUUGUAAAGCUCUUUUGUCAGGGAAGAAACGGUGAGUCCUAAUAUGGCUUGCUAAUGACGGUACCUGAAGAAUAAGCACCGGCUAACUACGUGCCAGCAGCCGCGGUAAUACGUAGGGUGCAAGCGUUAAUCGGAAUUACUGGGCGUAAAGCGUGCGCAGGCGGUUUUGUAAGUCUGUCGUGAAAUCCCCGGGCUCAACCUGGGAAUGGCGAUGGAGACUGCAAGGCUAGAGUUUGGCAGAGGGGGGUAGAAUUCCACGUGUAGCAGUGAAAUGCGUAGAUAUGUGGAGGAACACCGAUGGCGAAGGCAGCCCCCUGGGUCAAACUGACGCUCAUGCACGAAAGCGUGGGGAGCAAACAGGAUUAGAUACCCUGGUAGUCCACGCCCUAAACGAUGUCUACUAGUUGUCGGGUCUUAAUUGACUUGGUAACGCAGCUAACGCGUGAAGUAGACCGCCUGGGGAGUCGGUCGCAGAUUAAAACUUCAAAUGAAUUGACGGCUUGGAGAGNGCGAGACGACGACGAGGGAGAGG
This 616-nucleotide ribosomal RNA is filed under the name uncultured bacterium. Its description in RNAcentral is "bacterial SSU rRNA". It matches the Rfam family "Bacterial small subunit ribosomal RNA", at positions 338 to 956 of the family's 1533-position model. The record is from RNAcentral.